Molecule: ribosomal RNA, 157 nt
Filed under: Alatospora acuminata
Lineage: Eukaryota; Fungi; Ascomycota; Leotiomycetes; Leotiales; Leotiaceae
Also listed under: 4 other names
Description: 5.8S ribosomal RNA
Rfam family: 5.8S ribosomal RNA
About the family: 5.8S ribosomal RNA (5.8S rRNA) is a component of the large subunit of the eukaryotic ribosome.
Source: RNAcentral
AAAACUUUCAACAACGGAUCUCUUGGUUCUGGCAUCGAUGAAGAACGCAGCGAAAUGCGAUAAGUAAUGUGAAUUGCAGAAUUCAGUGAAUCAUCGAAUCUUUGAACGCACAUUGCGCCCUCUGGUAUUCCGGGGGGCAUGCCUGUUCGAGCGUCAU